Athene cunicularia (burrowing owl) is the source of this 2074-nucleotide long non-coding RNA. RefSeq lists it as uncharacterized. The record is from RefSeq and is a predicted model, not a curated record. NCBI's taxonomy places the organism in Eukaryota, Metazoa, Chordata, Aves, Strigiformes, Strigidae. The transcript has 3 exons.
UGCUCUCACUGAAAUGAUCUACUGCUUCCUUUCUGUUUCCACCGGGCUCAGUGUGCUGCUCUCACUUCCCCUCAGUGUGGCUGCUGUUCCUCACUUCUCCCUGAGGACAGAAAGAUGAAAAUGAAAAAUAUUGAAGAGCUGCAUCGUUUCUGGGAUGCUAUAAAUUUUGAGUGCUGACUAAAGCAGCAGUACAAUAAAGACUGGACUUCAGCAAAGUGUUUGACACUGUUUCCUAAAGACUUCUCCUGGACAGACUGCCAAGAUACAAAUUGGAUGGGUGGUCUGUGAGAUGGGUAGGAAACUGGCACACAGGCUGCAUUCAUAGGUGGUGAUCGAUGGUUUUUACUCAGGCUUGCAGCUUGUCACAAGUGGGGUCCCCCAGAGAUUGAUACUGGGCCUCAUGCUGCCCAACAUCUUCAUAAAUGGUCUGGAUAAUGGGAUUGAAAGCACCCUCAUCAUGUUUGCUGAUGGUGGUAAGGUACACAUCAGAAGGGAGAGCCAUCUUACAGAGCAACCUGGACAGGCUGAAAGAGUGGGCUAGCAAGAACACAAAGACAAGUGACAAGUUCUGCAUCUGGGAUGAAAUAACCAAAACCCCCAGUGCAGGCUAGGAUCUGUGUAGUGAGAGAGCAGCAUUGCUGAAAGGGACCUUGGAGGUCCUGGUGGACAGCAAGCUGAACAGGAAUCAGCAGUGCACUGCUGUAGCAACGAAUGCAAAUCAGAUCUUGGGCUGCAUCUGCAGGGGCAGUACUACCAGGGAUAUGCAAUUAUCCCACUCUACUUAGAACUUGUCAGGCCACACCUGGAGUACUGUCCGUAACUGUGCUCCACACAAUUCAAAGACAUGGACAGACAGGAUAGGGUACAAAGGAGGGCCACUAAAUUGGUCAAAGGGCUCGAAAACCUGCCCUAUGAGGAAUGACUGGAGGAGUUAGGUCUUUUCUGCCUGGAGAAGAGAAGGCUCAGGGGGCACCUCAUCACAGUAUUCCAGUACUGAAAAGGAUGCUACAAAGAAGCACUCUCUUCAUAAGGAGCCACAUGGAGAAGACAAGGGGCAAAGGGUGUAACUUGCACAGGGACUUUCAGCAUGAUAUAAGAAAAAAAUUUUUUAGAUGAGAACAGCUGAUCACUGGAACAACCUGCCCAGGGAUGUGGCAGAGCCCUCAUUGUUGGAGGUUUUCAAGACACAGUUGGACAACGUGCUGCAUAACCUCAUAUAGGCUCUCUUUCCCAUGUAAGAUUGGACCACAUGAUCUUUUAAGAUCCCUUCCGACCUGGGCUAUUCUAUGGUUCUAUGACAGAGAAAGAGAUAACGCAUAUUUAACAUCAUCCGGAAUGCACCUGUGUAGUAAGGUAUUGCUUCAUUGGGGAGCGUGUUGUCAACAGCUUAUUUCAGCAAAGACUUGUUAGGUUUUAGCAUCUGUGCCCUGUGGCUAUUGCCUGUAUUGACUCUUCUCCACCAGCUCCCAAACUCACUGAACAGCUCUCACACAGCAACAAGCACACACUCUUCCUCGAAACAGCUUACCCUGUAGUUGCUUCCCUGAUACUAAAACUGCAGACAAAGAGACUAUCUUUCCAAUGCUUCUCUAACUGCCAAUCCACCUACACAGGUUACAGGAGGAAAGUUUCUCUGGGUCAACUAUAAACAGUAGGAUAAUUAAAGAAAACAACAUGGAGCUGGACUGAAAGAACUGACAAUUUGGAAGGAAUGAAAGAAAAGAAAGUUAAUAAAUAUUGGUCCAUAUUCCUCUCUAUUGAGACUGAACCCAGUUAAUCCCAAAACUCUUUCUCUUACUGUCACUGUCUAGAAAGACAACUGUACUGCCCACGUGUGUCCAGCUCAUGGCAGAAGCAGAGCUGAACAGAAGAGAAUUUCUUUGCUAUAAAGACUGAAUGUUUGAGGUCUCACUCAACUACUGUAAACCAGAAACAAUUAAAAACAUAUAUUGUGGUGCUUUUCAAGUUUCCUUCCUAAUUUAUGAAGACUGUGUGGGAGAAGACAACAGUCUGUACUCAGGAGAAAUGCAGUGAAUCAGCCUGUUCUUUAUGGUGAAAUGUUCUUUUAUGCAGC